This 982-nucleotide ribosomal RNA is filed under the name uncultured eukaryote. Its description in RNAcentral is "SSU rRNA". It matches the Rfam family "Eukaryotic small subunit ribosomal RNA", at positions 602 to 1608 of the family's 1831-position model. The record is from RNAcentral.
UAUUAAAGUUGUUGCAGUUAAAAAGCUCGUAGUUGAACUUCAGACCUGGCUGGGCGGUCUGCCUAACGGUAUGUACUGUCCGGCUGGGUCUUACCUCUUGGUGAGCCGGCAUGCCCUUCACUGGGUGUGUCGGGGAACCAGGACUUUUACCUUGAGAAAAUUAGAGUGUUCAAAGCAGGCUUAUGCCCGAAUACAUUAGCAUGGAAUAAUAAAAUAGGACGUGCGGUUCUAUUUUGUUGGUUUCUAGAGUCGCCGUAAUGAUUAAUAGGGAUAGUUGGGGGCAUUAGUAUUCCGUUGCUAGAGGUGAAGUUCUUGGAUUUACGGAAGACUAACUAUUGCGAAAGCAUUUGCCAAGGAUGUUUUCAUUAAUCAAGAACGAAGGUUAGGGGAUCGAAAACGAUCAGAUACCGUUGUAGUCUUAACAGUAAACUAUGCCGACUAGGGAUCGGGCGAACUCAAUUUGAUGUGUCGCUCGGCACCUUACGAGAAAUCAAAAGUCUUUGGGUUCUGGGGGGGAGUAUGGUCGCAAGGGCUGAAACUUAAAGGAAUUGACGGAAGGGCACCACCAGGUGUGGAGCCUGCGGCUUAAUUUGACUCAACACGGGGAAACUCACCAGGUCCAGACAUGACUAGGAUUGACAGAUUGAUAGCUCUUUCAUGAUUUUAUGGGUGGUGGUGCAUGGCCGUUCUUAGUUGNUGGAGUGAUUUGUCUGGUUAAUUCCGAUAACGAACGAGACCUUAACCUGCUAAAUAGCCAGGCCGGCUUUUGCUGGUCGCCGGCUUCUUAGAGGGACUGUCUGCGUCUAGCAGACGGAAGUUUGAGGCAAUAACAGGUCUGUGAUGCCCUUAGAUGUUCUGGGCCGCGCGCGCGCUACACUGACGGAGCCAGCGAGUUUUUUUCCUUGGCCGGAAGGUCUGGGUAAUCUUGUGAAACUCUGUCGUGCUGGGGAUAGAGCAUUGCAAUUAUUGCUCUUCAACGAGG